CUCCUGUCUGGUCGGUCUGGUCUCCUGUCUGGUCUCCUGUCUGAUCUCCUGUCUGAUCUCCUGUCUGGUCUCCUGUCUGGUCUCCUGUCUGGUUUCAUGUCUGGUGUCAUGUCUGGUCGGUCUGGUCUCCUGUCUGGUCUCCUGUCUGAUCUCCUGUCUGGUCUCCUGUCUGGUCUCCUGUCUGGUGUCAUGUCUGGUGUCAUGUCUGGUCGGUCUGGUCUCCUGUCUGAUCUCCUGUCUGAUCUCCUGUCUGAUCUCCUGUCUGGUCUCCUGUCUGGUCUCCUGUCUGGUUGGUCUGCUCUCCUGUCUGGUCUCUUGUCUGGUCUCCUGUCUGGUUGGUCUGGUCUUCUGUCUGGUCUCCUGUCUGGUCUCCUGUCUGGUAGGUCUGGUCUACUGUCUGGUCUCCUGUCUGAUUUCCUGUCUGGUUGGUCUGGUCUCCUGUCUGGUCUCUUGUCUGGUCUCCUGUCUGGUCUCCUGUCUGAU
Oncorhynchus tshawytscha (Chinook salmon) is the source of this 483-nucleotide long non-coding RNA. Lineage: Eukaryota; Metazoa; Chordata; Actinopteri; Salmoniformes; Salmonidae. The record is from Ensembl.